Molecule: ribosomal RNA, 483 nt
Filed under: Eutrombicula butantanensis
Lineage: Eukaryota; Metazoa; Arthropoda; Arachnida; Trombidiformes; Trombiculidae
Description: SSU rRNA
Rfam family: Eukaryotic small subunit ribosomal RNA
Source: RNAcentral
AUAUUGGAGGGCAAGUCUGGUGCCAGCAGCCGCGGUAAUUCCAGCUCCAAUAGCGUAUAUUAAAGUUGUUGCGGUUAAAAAGCUCGUAGUUGGAUCUCAGCUCACGCUAAGUGGUCCACCUAAUGGUGGUUACUACUUAGCUGAGCAUUUUACAGAUUUGUCUCUUGAUGCUCUUCACCGAGUGUCAAGAGUGGUCUGUACGUUUACUUUGAAAAAAUUAGAGUGCUUAAAGCAGGCAACUCGCCCGAAUAAUCUUGCAUGGAAUAAUGGAAUAGGACCUUGGUUCUAUUUUGUUGGUCUCCGGAAUCUGAGGUAAUGAUUAAGAGGGACAGACGGGGGCAUUCGUAUUGCGCCGCUAGAGGUGAAAUUCUUGGACCGGCGCAAGACGAACUACAGCGAAAGCAUUUGCCAAGAAUGUUUCAUUAAUCAAGAACGAAAGUAGAGUCGCGAUCGAGAUACAGUUCUAACCAUAAACGAUGCCAA